CCGCCCGCCCGCGCACCUCCAACCCACCUGCCGCCGGCCAGACAGGAAUGGACUGUGUGACUGAAUGAAAUGGCGGGGCCAUAAGCCAUCCAAGGAGCCGCCUCCGUGAAGUUAUAGGCUCGCGGGGUACAAGGAGAAAAAAACAAUCCAGCUCCAACGGUACUGAUGUGACAGGAGGUUGUCACAGCAGAGCGGAAGAUCUGGCAGAAAGACGCUGGGAAAGAAGACACUAGGGGAAAACAUCAGAAAGUUCGGAUGAUGAAAACUCACCUCACGCCACAACAAUCUCUCAGAUUCCAUGACCCUGUGUCUCUAGUCCU
RNAcentral lists this long non-coding RNA (320 nucleotides) under Homo sapiens (human). Its description in RNAcentral is "non-protein coding lnc-HPDL-1:1". Lineage: Eukaryota; Metazoa; Chordata; Mammalia; Primates; Hominidae. The record is from RNAcentral.